RNAcentral lists this long non-coding RNA (233 nucleotides) under Lathyrus oleraceus (garden pea). Its description in RNAcentral is "Pisum sativum (pea) long non-coding RNA (PSAT_LNC024948)". Lineage: Eukaryota; Viridiplantae; Streptophyta; Magnoliopsida; Fabales; Fabaceae. The record is from RNAcentral.
UGUCAUGAUCCAUUGCAUAGCAUUUGCAUUGUUCCUCAGUUGCCUUAAGUGCAAGCAGUCAAGAAUUAGGUCAAACUAAUCUCCUGAUCAGUCAGCCAAGCAAGCAAAGGAAUUUCUCAUUGAACCAAGGCCUUGGGGUUUGUCCAACAAGUUCACAUGGUUUGGAGGUCUAUUUGAAGUGUUCAUGUCAAGGGUUAAGGGCUCAGAGGUCAGUAGUUCAUGCCCAGACAGUC